GCAAUGCCGCGUGCAGGAAGAAGGCCUUCGGGUUGUAAACUGCUUUUGUACGGAACGAAACGGCUCUUUCUAAUAAAGAGGGCUAAUGACGGUACCGUAAGAAUAAGCACCGGCUAACUACGUGCCAGCAGCCGCGGUAAUACGUAGGGUGCGAGCGUUAAUCGGAAUUACUGGGCGUAAAGCGUGCGCAGGCGGUUAUAUCAGACAGUUGUGAAAUCCCCGGGCUCAACCUGGGAAUUGCAUCUGUGACUGUAUAGCUAGAGUACGGUAGAGGGGGAUGGAAUUCCGCGUGUAGCAAUGAAAUGCGUAGAUAUGCGGAGGAACACCGAUGGCGAAGGCAAUCCCCUGGACCUGUACUGACGCUCAUGCACGAAAGCGUGGGGAGCAAACAGGAUUAGAUACCCUGGUAGUCCACGCCCUAAACGAUGUCAACUGGUUGUUGGGUGCAUUAAUACUCAGUAACGAAGCUAACGCGUGAAGUUGACCGCCUGGGGAGUACGGCCGCAAGGUUGAAACUCAGAGGAAUUGACGGGGACCCGCACAAGCGGUGGAUGAUGUGGUUUAAUUCGAUGCAACGCGAAAAACCUUACCUACCUUUGACAUGUACGGAAUUCGCCAGAGAUGGCU
This 627-nucleotide ribosomal RNA is filed under the name Polaromonas sp. Se1Pw_2979. Its description in RNAcentral is "bacterial SSU rRNA". It matches the Rfam family "Bacterial small subunit ribosomal RNA", at positions 391 to 1011 of the family's 1533-position model. The record is from RNAcentral. Lineage: Bacteria; Pseudomonadati; Pseudomonadota; Betaproteobacteria; Burkholderiales; Comamonadaceae.